Molecule: long non-coding RNA, 7639 nt
Filed under: Zostera marina
Lineage: Eukaryota; Viridiplantae; Streptophyta; Magnoliopsida; Alismatales; Zosteraceae
Description: long non-coding RNA (ZMAR_LNC001292)
Source: RNAcentral
AACACAUUUUGAUUAAGAUUAUCAUUAAUAAAAUGGACAUAGCCCUGAGAGUACAUUGAAGUUCAGCAAUAAAAUAAAAUCAUGGAGUUGAGCACUAGGUUCAUCUCGACACUUUCCAUUCAUCCAUAUUGCCUAAAUAGUUAGGUUGUCUGCUUCUGGAGGUUGGUCUCCCAUAUUUGUAUCGUGCUGGUCUCCAAAGGAUGACAUCAACUUUUCUUGAAGCAUUCAAGCCUGAAAGAGAUGCUUAUGUCAUUUUUUUUGGAGAAAUUAAAGUUUUCAUUACUAAAAAAGGAGGUUGGGCAAAGCCCAAGAUUACAGAUAUAGGGAAAUGCAAAUACAGUAAAUGUAAAAAAACAUUAAAUGUAAAACAUUGUCUAUCUCUUAUACAACUGUGGCCAUGACUAUCUAGCCAAGGAUUGAAGCCUCAAGAGGUUGGACUCCCAUGGGUGUAUAAUUUGUAUUUCAAUCUGUAAAAGAUUGUGCUUCUUAUAGGAUGUAGAUUCAUAUGUAAUGCUCACAUCCUUUAUAAUUUCUCUGCUGACAAUUUCUGAGGGCUUUAGGGUGUGUUGUUUUAAUUUCCUAUUCCUUUCACACCAUAUGUGUCAGGAAAGAGAUGCUAGCAUAGUCCAGUGUACCCCCCAACAACUGGACUUGUGGGUGAAUUUUUGUAUUGUUUCCACUUUCCAUAAUGUCGCCUAUCCUGAUGUCUGUUACGGGAGAUUGGGGAUUUUAUCCACUAAAUGUCCAAACAAUGCUUGUCAUUGGUGACCUCUUUGAGAACCGUUUCUGGUGGUCUGAGUGUAUAUUGCUUCCACCUGCGAUUUCUUUCUGCCCAGAUGUGCCAAUAUAAGGAUCCAAUCAUGUUCCAUAGUAGACCCCAAAUUGGGGAGUGAUGUGUUAGCUACUUAGCUCCUGACAUGUCUCAGUGAAGUCCCCUAACCUGAUAUCAGGAUGAUUUGUGGUGGGUGUGGGGUUGUGGACCGUGUGGCUAUGUUAAGUAUUUUCUUGAAAAUGUUAUUUAGGUUUUCAACUAGGGGGGAGGAUGACUUUAGUUUCAAUCUCUGUGUUACAGAGUAAACAUGUGGGCCAUACUUCAUCCAUUCAGUCUGAUAAAAGUGUUUAGGUGGUCCCAUUUUAUUCUCCAUAAAAAAUAGAGAACUUUGUAGGUUUGUGUGCCCAUAUCCCUUCAACUAAGUUAUGCUUAUGGCUUUUGUCUCUAAUUUCUUCACAGAUUGUUGCAAGUUUCCUGUUUAGGUUCCCAUUCAUCCACAGGACAAUGUAGUUUAGGCCACAUUCGACAAAAACACUUCCUUUAGUCUUGUCUCCCAUCACAUAUUUCCUUUAGUCUUCAUUGUGUCUCCCAACACAAUGAAGUGGAGGUCAAUGGAACUUCUGAUCUGAAUGUUUAUAAGGGCUCUUCCUUUUAUAUCUCUCUCUUGUAUCCAAGCUUUUAAAGGUGCAAAUGCGCUGUGUGCCAGGACCUGGCACACUGCUGUUUAGGCGCCAGUGUCAUUUCUGUAUAUAAAUUUUUUAAUAAAUUUUUAAUAGUUAAUUCAGAUAAAUAAUUAAAUAUAUUCAUAGGAUAUUUUUUUCCACCUAAAAACAGGUUGUUGGAGCUCGCCGAAGGUGUGGGAAAAGAUUGGGGGAAGAAUGGGGAAGAUAGGUUGAGGUUUUGGGGGGAGGAAAUAGGUGUUUCUUGCGUUUCCGGACUUUCUAAAGUUUCUUGUGUUUUGAGGUGUUUCUUGUGUUUAUUGAGAAAAUAAGAAUGGUGUUUCUAAAGUCCGGAAACACAAGAGCCCUAAUGUUUAUAUUUAAAUAAACAUUAGGGCUAAAUCCUGGAGGCUCUUGAAAACCAUGCUUGUAUCCAUCUAUUUAGAUUGAGUUUGAUUUCUUCCAAAAUUUAGCAAUUCUCUUGAUAUUUUUUGCUGGUACUAUGGUUUAUAGGUUUCUAACUAGUAACUCCUAAUCGUCCUUUUGAUUUGGGACAGACUCAAUCCUAAGGGGUCACCUGAUUUUUGAAACAGAUGAUUCUAUCCUAGACUCAGUCCUAGAGAAAGUUCCAGUUCAUUCUUAUUAAGAUUAGCUUGGUGGAAUAAUUGGUGAUUUUGAUGAAUAGGAUGAAUGGGUUGAUUUUCUUUUAAAUGCUAAAUAAAUAAAUCUAUUUCUAGAGAUUGUGUUUUUUUUUUGAAGCAAUAGAGAUUGUGUAUUUGUGAUUACUGGUUUUCAGAGGAUUGUAUAAUUCAAUGUUUGUAUGUUCCAUUGUUCCAUAGCCUUCUUCUUUUUUAACAUCAUUAUCAUAUAAUUUUAUUUUAUUCUUUGACAAAAAUUUAUUUUAUCUAUAUGCAAUUCCUUAAUGCAAUAAGCCAAUAUCCUUGAAACUAAUUUACCAUAGAAGCUCUAACUAAAAGACAAAAAAAUCUGGCAAUUUUUAAAAUCUCCAGUCCCCUCCAGUCAGGCUCAACUCGGGCGAGAUUCCCCUCACCAGAGUCCACUCAACCAGAGUGACUGAGCAGAGACACCCAAGUAGAUUGAAUUGCCACUCAAUAUGUAUGCUUACACCCAAGUAGACUGAGCAGAAAUGCUUACACCCAAGACUAAGGAUGUUGCUCCGGUGAGCUAGUCCGUUGAAGAGCUGAGCUGAUGGGAGUGCUUUCUUGAAGAAAGAUGGGAAGGACUGCAGCAAUGCAGCCUACUAAAAGAAGAGAAAAUACUCCCACCUGCCAGAAAUUCACACAUCAUUCUGCCUGCUGGGGACUGCACUGGAACAUGUUGGACAGCUUAUCUUGGCAUAUAUGUGUAGAGAGAAACAUGAGACUCAAAGAUCAUAUCCUAAGACCUCCAGAAGUGGUUACCAUUUACCAAAGAAAUUGCUAGGGACUCCAGCCUAUGCCUAUCAUACAUGCAUGAACUUCAUAAGAAGGAAAAUACCAGGCUUAAAUUACAGUUUUUGUACUUUCCUAGUUAUAUAACCAAUAAAGAGUAAGGAUAAUGCUAAAUGGAAUCUGAGUCAUGGACAUGGCAUGCUUAUCUGUGACCUUAUUGUAAUUUAAGAGCUGUCUCCAUUUAUUGGAUUUCAAUUUUUUUAUCUAUAUGCAAAUUCAACCUGCAUGCUUUAUUCUUAUGAAUUUGUUGUUUGACUACAUAUACAAUAAUAAUUAAACUUAUAUUAUCGUUUGUUUUGCAGCUGUUAUGAUUUCCGAUGUUGUUCAAAAAUUAUCUGCAUAUUUCAUUUCAACUCAUAAUGUAGUUAAUGAUAACGUACAGCAUCUGGAAAAGACAUUUACCGUGAUGAAAAUCAUGCGGGAUUGUGAAACAUGGUUGACGUCACAAUUUUCUGUUCAGGAAUUCAGUUUUCUUGGUCAUGGUGAUUUUUUUGGAUUUAUAGAAAAAAAUAUUAAUUUACUUCCCUAUGAAAUGCACAGUUUUCUUAUGGGAAAUGACUACAAUAAACCUCUAUUGAUGGCUUCCAUGUUGCCGAGACAGCUAGAUUCUUUUCUUUCUCAUACCACGAGCAAUUUAUCAAACAAGGAGAAAAUAACUGCCCAUUACAUUUCUACUCUUCUUAAUAAACAGUUUCCUACUAUCGGUUUUCAAAUAUCAGGAAAUGAUAUUGCAAGCUUUUCAAUGGACAUCGUUAAGAGCAAUGAAAAUGAUCAGCAUUGCUGUUCUGUUUUAUUUUCUACAAUACUAUUGGGAAACAUACUAGGACGCUCUGAGGGUUGUUUAUCAAAAGUUGAUGUGAUGGAAUCUGAAGGAGUUCAGUAUGACAUUUUUCAUCGUCAUUCUUCAGAAGAUGCAGUUAAAUGCUUAAUGAAGUCUCCAAUGUUGUUCGAUCUACACUCCUGGUCUCACUGGGAUCUUGUAUAUGCUCCUUCUCUUGGACCUCUUCUUGAAUGGCUAUUGAGUGGUGUCCACUGUAAAGACUUAUUAUGUAUAGCAACAAGGGAUGGUAAAUUUAUUCGGAUUGAUCGUAAUGCAACUGCUGAGGAAUUCUUGGAGGCCGCACUCCAAGGUUCUUCAUAUGAGGCAGCAGUAAAGUUGUUAUCCUUGAUACCUCUGUAUGGCGGAACACAAAAUGUUCCAGUAUCUCUUUUGAAACAUUUCACAAAAAGGGCAAUUGAAGUUGUUAUAAGAAACUCUAAGGAAUACAUGGAUGUAACUAAAAGUUCUUUUGAUGUGCAAGGUAUUGAAUGUCAAAAUGUGCAUCACGAUGAAUUCAGUGCCGCAUCAUGUUUUAUCCUUGAUUGUCUUAGUCAUAUACCUUCAGAAUUUCGAAGUUUUGCUGCAAAAAUACUAGUUCCAGGACUGCAAUCUUUCAAUAAAGAUGCCUACUCAGUUCUUUUACAUGAAUGCAAGCAAACAUCUCAGCGACUUAUGCUUCAUGAGAUAGGAUUGUCCCUUGGGGUGAUACAAUGGAUUGAUGACUUUAAUGCAUUUAAGUCACUGCCAUAUUCUGAUUUUGUAAUAAUCUCAUCCCAAAAUAUAAUCAAAAAUUUUGAAUUUACAUUUCCUGAAUCUAGUUUGGCCUUGAAAUGCGAACGAGAUAUCACAGAUAGAUCUUGCAACGUAAAAAGAACUACUUCAUCUCAAGAUUACACUUCUCUGUUAGGUGGACAUCCACACAAGUUGAAACAUCAAAAAGACAAUGUUUUAACUCCAAAAAGGUUGGAGGAUCCUGAAAAGGAUUUGAUUAAAUUGGAUGACAGUGAUAUAUGUGAUGCAUCGCUUAUUAUUGAAUCCAUACGACGCGAUGAAUUUGGUCUAGAGCCAAAUCUUGAUUUCAACGAAGAUAGUUUGCUAAAAAAGCAGCAUGCUCGAUUGGGACGAGCACUUCAUUGUCUUUCUCAGGAGCUGUAUUCCCAGGAUUCACAUCUUCUUCUUGAACUAGUAAGUUCACUAUUAUACAUACUUUUUACCUUUUUCUGUUUUUCUAUUUGAAACCGAUAAAUAUCUUUAUUUUAUUCCAUGCCAAGAAAAUAUAAAACAUUAAAAAUAUAAUACACUCAGCCACUUAGGUGUGCUGCAUUGCAUUUGUAAAUUGUAAUUAGUUGUUAGGAAAGUUUGGAGUGGUGCACUACUGCACCCAAUGCAUUUUUAAUCUAUUUUUUCAUUCUUGUAUAUAUUUUUUGUAUUUCUUUUGGUGCCAUUUUUCUAUCCUAAUUUUUUUCUUGGGAGUUCAAUUCCUGGAGGCAAUAGCUAGAGUAGUUAUUUAAUGUGUUAUUAGAGGAUCUGCAUUGCUUAUCUCCUUAACCAUUGCAUGGGGUAGUAGUGAUGUGGACAUGGGGUCAUGAUAUUUGAGUCGUAUGUCACUGGCUCAACAACGGUUGUUAGAUUGAUUCUCGACCCAUAUAUCAUCAGUGAGUGAGUGCAAUGUAUAAUGAAUGUGCUUGGGGUAGUAGUGAUGUGGACAUGUGGUUAUGAUAUUUGAGUCGUGUGUCACUGGCUCAACAACGGUUGUUGGAUUGAUUCUCGACCCAUAUAUCAUCAGUGAGUGAGUGCAAUGUAUAAUGAAUGUGCAUGGGGUAGUAGUGAUGUGAACAUGUGGUCAUGAUAUUUGAGUCGUGUGUCACUGGCCCAACAACGGUUGUUGGAUUGAUCCUCGACCCAUAUAUCAUCAGUGAGUGAGUGCAAUGUAUAAUGAAUGUGCUUGGCAUGGCGGACAACUUUGUAAGUAAUCAGAAAUCAGAAUUCUAGAGGUGAUUUUGAAAAUUAAAGAUAGAGCAGGGAUUUGUUAUUGGAAAUUUGGAAUAAGCAUUGUUACUUGGGUUGGAUUCAAGCAAUCCUCAGGAACCCUCACUAAUACUCAGUGGAACGGUAACUCAGAUCAGAUUCUGAUCAAGAAGUAGAAAGAGAUUAGAGGAGUGAGCAAAGAGAAAACAGCACAAGAUUUAUGUGGUUCAGCUACAAAUAGCCUUAUUCCAUAAGGGCGAUCUCUCUUUAUGGUGGUGACUGCCGACUGGUGAAUAUUAAAGUUUGCGUUACAAUGUUCAUCAAGAGUACUCCCAAUGAUGGAAGGUGGGCUAGGCAUCAGGAACUUGUCAAUUAUAACUAGGGCAGUGGCUAUAAAAAGAGCUGCCAACUUUUGGGGAGAGGGGAACUCUAUAUUGAUCAAUUGGGUGAUUGGGUCAAGGAAAGAUACAUAAGAGAACAUGCAUUAGACAAUAUACAGAUCAGACCAACAGUUGACUCUCCAUUGUGGAAACAACUCAUCAACCAAAAAGUGGAAAUAUGAAAGAUAAUGGAUUGGAAGGCAAAGUACAUCAUUAUUUGGAAGAAAGGUGCCCCAACAAACAAGCUGGGAAACUUUAUCCAACUAAUCAAACAUUCAGAUUUCAGACCUACUAGCCACAAGGAUCAACUGGCACAAAGAAUAUGGUCAUGAAUGCCAACAAAAUUCUCAAUAAUGCUAUUUAGAAUCAGAUGGGAAUACCUAACUACUUUUAGUAAAUUAAUAAGAUUAUAAGAUUGGAGUAUCCAAACCCAACCAAAUUGUCUGAUAUAUGCAAUAAAGAGGAGGAAAUAAUUAGCCAUCUCUUCUUUAAUUGUGAUUUGUGAGUACCGAGGGACAUCCUUAUUAGAAUUAUUGAAACAUUAGGACAGUCCAGUCCAUUUGGAAAAUAACAAAUGUUCCCAUUCCAACACCCAACAAGGACAUCAGAAUUGGGGACCUUACAAGAAAUUCUCUAAACAAACACCAUACUGGGGGCUGCACUGGAAUAUUUUAGGGAGUAUAAAAUGGCACAUAUGGGCUGAAAGGAAUAGGAAACUUAGUAACCAAUUAACCAUACACUCAGAUCACCAAAGACCCUUACAAAAGAUAUCAUAAAGGACUCAAAACUAUCCUUCAAGGGAGAAAUCUACAAGAAGGAGAGCACAUCAGCAGAAAUACAGAUCAUAAAUUCGUGGUAGGCAUCUUUUAUCAGGCAAACUUCCUAGGUCCACAGACCUAGAAAAACUGCUAUAUAGAAAUAGGGUCGUUGGACAUGUCCAUCUCUCACAAUAGAUAGAUUAGCUCUAUCUUUAUUAGUUAUUUACUGUUUUCUUUUCUAUUCCAUUUUUAAUGGACUUUAACUCUAUAAAAAAAAUGAAAUAGUUGGUUAUCUCGGGCUUAAUUCUCAAGAUAAAAGUAUAAUAACUCCAGUCCGUUUAAUAGAUUAUUAAAUGAACUAAUGAGAAUUUGUUCUCCGUCCCUCAUAAAUUCCUGAAAUAACAUAAAAAUCUAUGAUUUACCUAUAUUUGAUGGUCAAAGUCCUGGAAAAUUUCUUGAUUAGAUAACUGAAAUGGAGAGAUUUCUUGAUUAUCUGGAUAUUGCAGAACAUCGAAUAUUAAAAUUAAUGGCUCUACAUUUGAAGGGAAUAACGUCACAAUAUUUGAGAGAAAUGUGCUUAGAUUGGGAGUAUAAAUAUGAAGUGGUGCAGAGGAUCACCAGCUUUUGUCAUUUGAGCCAAAUCAGGUAUUCUUCUAUUUUCCGGUGGAUUCCAGUGCUAUUUCAUUCUUCUGAUCGGUGAAUUCCGAUCUCUUCUUCUUGUUUCAGUAAAGUUCCCUCCGGGAGAACUUAUCUCGUCGGUUCUAUUAACCGAUGAGUUUAUCAUUUACUUCUAGUUCAUUGAAGAUUACCAUUACAGUACUUGGAAGAACA